This is a long non-coding RNA of Gopherus evgoodei (Goodes thornscrub tortoise), 829 nucleotides long. RefSeq lists it as uncharacterized. The transcript is spliced from 3 exons. NCBI's taxonomy places the organism in Eukaryota, Metazoa, Chordata, Testudines, Testudinidae. The record is from RefSeq and is a predicted model, not a curated record.
AAUACUUUUUACAAUUAUUUUUAGAUGACAAACCUCUGUAUCAAACUGCUUUUGCUUUGCCCAUCCUACCUCCAAAUUACAUAAAUCGUAUUAACAGGCACUUCACUACAAGAUACAAAUCCUGGGAAUUCUGAACCAGCUGAGACGUCUUAAAUAUAUAUGGAGACAGGAUACAUAUGAACCACCAACAACAACCCUGAUGUUCUCUAUGAAUAGAGAGAGUGCCUAUUUACCCUGAAAUACUUGGCACAAUGAAGUAAGGCUGAAGCAUGGAAGAAGUGUCUCUUAUUUCCCACCGCUUGCUUGCAGCUGUCAUUUUAUCAGACAUACUGAAAACCUGGCAGGACUACAGGAAAGUGACUAGACUUCGAGUGUUUGUGUACUUAAAGAAGGAAUCUUGCACAUUUUCAACUUUCAGUCUCAGAUAUUUUCUUAUAAGAGCAAUUGGAAGUCUGAGCCAGCCCUCAAAGCGGAAAUUAAUAGCUCCCAGAGAAACAUACCCAAGGAAUGUGAAUCUGAUCCAGGAACCAUACGCAAUGCACAUAUAGUACCGUCUUCCUUAUAGGAAGUCUGGCCAUAUAUGGACAUGUGUACCCUGAGCUAUUUUUCAUCGUGAUAGUCUUGUAAUUGGCUAUAGACAUUUCUAGUUUGCCUCAGGUUUAACAAUGUACAUUAAUUUCCCUCUCUCCAGAAUAUUUCUUAAAUUGUAAUAAAUAUUAUCCUAAAAUCCUAAGGGAUCCAGUUAAACUUAUAUCAACAUGUAUUUGUUUAAAAUAAAGACUCCAAGCAAGAUUUGCUGUGCUUCUGCAGAAGUGGAAAUGAAGUAAAA